Molecule: ribosomal RNA, 520 nt
Filed under: uncultured bacterium
Lineage: Bacteria
Description: bacterial SSU rRNA
Rfam family: Bacterial small subunit ribosomal RNA
Source: RNAcentral
AGAGUUGAUCCUGGCUUAGAACGAACGCUGGCGGCGCGUCUUAAGCAUGCAAGUCGAACGGCAAGAGGUAGCAAUACCUCCUAGAGUGGCGGACUGGUGAGUAACACGUGGUGACAUACCCUUCAGAUGGGGAUAGCUAUUAGAAAUAGUAGAUAAUACCGAAUACGAGCACAGGGGUUAGAGAUCUGUGAGGAAAGGAGCUAAGGCUCCGCUGAAGGAAUGGCCUGCGGCCCAUUAGCUAGUUGGUGAGGUAAGAGCCCACCAAGGCGAUGAUGGGUAUCCGGCCUUAGAGGGUGAACGGACACAUUGGGACUGAGAUACGGCCCAGACUCCUACGGGAGGCAGCAGCUAAGAAUAUUCCGCAAUGGACGAAAGUCUGACGGAGCGACACCGCCGUGGAUGAAGAAGGCCGGAAGGUUGUAAAAUCCUUUUGAAACUGAAGAAUAAGCGUUGUAGGGAAUGACAGCGUGGUGACAGUAGGUUUUGAAUAAGCAACGGCUAAUUACGUGCCAGCCGCCGC